RNAcentral lists this ribosomal RNA (420 nucleotides) under uncultured bacterium. RNAcentral describes it as "bacterial SSU rRNA". It matches the Rfam family "Bacterial small subunit ribosomal RNA", at positions 356 to 774 of the family's 1533-position model. The record is from RNAcentral.
AAGGAAUAUUGGUCAUUGGACGCAAGUCUGAACCAGCCAUGCCGCGUGAAGGAUGAAGGUCCUCUGGAUUGUAAACUUCUUUUAUCUGGGACGAAAACGGGAUUUUUAUCUCAAUUGACGGUACCAGAGGAAUAAGCACCGGCUAACUCCGUGCCAGCAGCCGCGGUAAUACGGAGGGUGCGAGCGUUAUCCGGAUUUACUGGGUUUAAAGGGUGCGUAGGUGGGCUUAUAAGUCAGUGGUGAAAUCUCCGAGCUUAACUUGGAAACUGCCGUUGAUACUAUAGGUCUUGAAUUAUCUGGAGGUAAGCGGAAUAUGUCAUGUAGCGGUGAAAUGCUUAGAUAUGACAUAGAACACCAAUUGCGAAGGCAGCUUACUACAUAUAAAUUGACGCUGAGGCACGAAAGCGUGGGGAUCAAACA